CAGAGGGUGCGAGCGUUGUUCGGAGUUACUGGGCGUAAAGCGCGCGCAGGCGGCCCUUUAAGUCUGUCGGUCAAAUGCCGGGGCUCAACCCCGAGCUCGCCGGAGAUACUGGAGGGCUGGAGACACGUAGAGGCAAGCGGAAUUCCGGGUGUAGCGGUGGAAUGCGUAGAGAUCCGGAAGAACACCGGAGGCGAAGGCGGCUUGCUGGGCGUGAUCUGACGCUGAGGCGCGAAAGCGUGGGGAGCGAACAGGAUUAGAUACCCUGGUAGUCCACGCCGUAAACGAUGGGCACUAGACGCUGGUGGGAUCGACCCCUUCGGUGUCGCAGCUAACGCGAUAAGUGCCCCGCCUGGGGAGUACGGCCGCAAGGCUG
This 373-nucleotide ribosomal RNA is filed under the name uncultured organism. RNAcentral's name for it is "bacterial SSU rRNA". It matches the Rfam family "Bacterial small subunit ribosomal RNA", at positions 526 to 896 of the family's 1533-position model. The record is from RNAcentral.